AUCUAAGUACCCCGAGGAAAAGAAAUCAACCGAGAUUCCCCCAGUAGCGGCGAGCGAACGGGGAGCAGCCCAGAGCCUGAAUCAGUGUGUGUGUUAGUGGAAGCGUCUGGAAAGGCGCGCGAUACAGGGUGACAGCCCCGUACACAAAAAUGCACAUGCUGUGAGCUCGAUGAGUAGGGCGGGACACGUGGUAUCCUGUCUGAAUAUGGGGGGACCAUCCUCCAAGGCUAAAUACUCCUGACUGACCGAUAGUGAACCAGUACCGUGAGGGAAAGGCGAAAAGAACCCCGGCGAGGGGAGUGAAAAAGAACCUGAAACCGUGUACGUACAAGCAGUGGGAGCACGCUUAGGCGUGUGACUGCGUACCUUUUGUAUAAUGGGUCAGCGACUUAUAUUCUGUAGCAAGGUUAACCGAAUAGGGGAGCCGAAGGGAAACCGAGUCUUAACUGGGCGUUAAGUUGCAGGGUAUAGACCCGAAACCCGGUGAUCUAGCCAUGGGCAGGUUGAAGGUUGGGUAACACUAACUGGAGGACCGAACCGACUAAUGUUGAAAAAUUAGCGGAUGACUUGUGGCUGGGGGUGAAAGGCCAAUCAAACCGGGAGAUAGCUGGUUCUCCCCGAAAGCUAUUUAGGUAGCGCCUCGUGAAUUCAUCUCCGGGGGUAGAGCACUGUUUCGGCAAGGGGGUCAUCCCGACUUACCAACCCGAUGCAAACUGCGAAUACCGGAGAAUGUUAUCACGGGAGACACACGGCGGGUGCUAACGUCCGUCGUGAAGAGGGAAACAACCCAGACCGCCAGCUAAGGUCCCAAAGUCAUGGUUAAGUGGGAAACGAUGUGGGAAGGCCCAGACAGCCAGGAUGUUGGCUUAGAAGCAGCCAUCAUUUAAAGAAAGCGUAAUAGCUCACUGGUCGAGUCGGCCUGCGCGGAAGAUGUAACGGGGCUAAACCAUGCACCGAAGCUGCGGCAGCGACGCUUAUGCGUUGUUGGGUA
RNAcentral lists this ribosomal RNA (991 nucleotides) under Escherichia coli. RNAcentral's name for it is "partial 23S ribosomal RNA". It matches the Rfam family "Bacterial large subunit ribosomal RNA", at positions 200 to 1230 of the family's 2925-position model. The record is from RNAcentral. Lineage: Bacteria; Pseudomonadati; Pseudomonadota; Gammaproteobacteria; Enterobacterales; Enterobacteriaceae.